Molecule: long non-coding RNA, 1166 nt
Filed under: Homo sapiens (human)
Lineage: Eukaryota; Metazoa; Chordata; Mammalia; Primates; Hominidae
Description: downregulated RNA in cancer, inhibitor of cell invasion and migration
Source: RNAcentral
CCACCGAGCCCGGCCAGAACUACUACAAUUUUUUUAGGGUCAUUUGGUCCUCUCUCUCAAAAGUGCGCUUACCCUCUAUCCAGGAAUUUCAUUUGUAGGAACCUAUGCUAUGUACAAUUUCACUGAAGUAUUGCUUGUAUUAGAAAAAAAGUAUGGAUGAUAGGCAGGUUGAAUAAAUGUUAAUGUUUUCAUGUAGCUAUGUAUAGGAAUGCCGCUAUGGAAAGACAUCCAGGACACCUUGUUAAGUGAAAAAAGGUUCAGUAUCUGAACACUUUUGCUAAAGGUCUCUGGAAAGCUCCCUGUGUUAAUUCUCGAUGAGACUACGUCUGUGCCGGCCGCUUCCUGAGCCUCCUUCCAUGUGCAUAGGCCUGCUGCAUGCUGGAGACCUGCGGCACAGCUGCCAAGUGCCCCGUGUGGUUCUGUGAUCUUGGGACAGUCACUUCCUCUCUGUGGUUGUCAGUCUUCUCAUCCCUAAGGUGGAGCCCAUUUCCCCUCCUGCUGAGCGUGGGCCACACUUAGCGACUGGCUUUCAAUGAAGAGAAUGUAACAGAGGUGAAAGUGUGUGACAUUCGAGGAAAGGCCAUAAAAGACAUUGGUGCUUCAGCUUUGCUCUCGCGGCUGUCUGACUCUGGGGGAAGCCAGCCACCACGUCAUGAGGACACCCAAACAGCCUACGGAGAGGCCCACGUAGGGAGGAGCUGAGGCCCCCUGCCAGCAAGCAGCCCUAGCCCGCCAGCUGUGUGAGUGAGCGAGCCUUUUUGGAAGUGCAUCCUCCUGUCCCAGUCCAGCCCUCAGAUGGCUGCAGCCCUGCUAGCAUCUUGACUGCCGCCUCAUGAGGGACCUCAAGCCAGAACCAACAGCCACGUGGUGCCAGAAUUCCUCAUCUGCAGCAGCCGUGUGAGAUCAUAACUGUUUAUUGCCUUUUUAAGCCACUGAGUUUUGGGGUCGUUUGUUACUCAGCAGUAGAUGAUUAAUAUGCUGUCAUGCAGCUGUCUUGGAACCAGGAGGGGCAAGACUGAGGGCAGAAGCCACUGUGGUGAAACUGGCGGAGACAUGGAAUCUGGAUUCCUGGUGAUGUGAGCUAGUGAGCUGCCCAGCCAACCCUGGGUUGCCUAUUUUGGGACUUUUUGUUACAUGAGCUGAUAAGAACCCUUAAUUCAUUGUUA